GCCUACUACAUGCAAGUCGAGCGCACUCUUCGGAGUGAGCGGCGGACGGGUUAGUAACGCGUGGGAACGUGCCCUUCUCUAAGGAAUAGCCACUGGAAACGGUGAGUAAUACCUUAUACGCCCUUCGGGGGAAAGAUUUAUCGGAGAAGGAUCGGCCCGCGUUAGAUUAGAUAGUUGGUGGGGUAACGGCCUACCAAGUCUACGAUCUAUAGCUGGUUUUAGAGGAUGAUCAGCAACACUGGGACUGAGACACGGCCCAGACUCCUACGGGAGGCAGCAGUGGGGAAUCUUGGACAAUGGGCGCAAGCCUGAUCCAGCCAUGCCGCGUGAGUGAUGAAGGCCUUAGGGUCGUAAAGCUCUUUCGCCAGAGAUGAUAAUGACAGUAUCUGGUAAAGAAACCCCGGCUAACUCCGUGCCAGCAGCCGCGGUAAUACGGAGGGGGUUAGCGUUGUUCGGAAUUACUGGGCGUAAAGCGCACGUAGGCGGAUCAGAAAGUUGGGGGUGAAAUCCCGGGGCUCAACCCCGGAACUGCCUCCAAAACUCCUGGUCUUGAGUUCGAGAGAGGUGAGUGGAAUUCCGAGUGUAGAGGUGAAAUUCGUAGAUAUUCGGAGGAACACCAGUGGCGAAGGCGGCUCACUGGCUCGAUACUGACGCUGAGGUGCGAAAGUGUGGGGAGCAAACAGGAUUAGAUACCCUGGUAGUCCACACCGUAAACGAUGAAUGCCAGUCGUCGGCAAGCAUGCUUGUCGGUGACACACCUAACGGAUUAAGCAUUCCGCCUGGGGAGUACGGUCGCAAGAUUAAAACUCAAAGGAAUUGACGGGGGCCCG
This 830-nucleotide ribosomal RNA is filed under the name Phaeobacter gallaeciensis. Its description in RNAcentral is "bacterial SSU rRNA". It matches the Rfam family "Bacterial small subunit ribosomal RNA", at positions 46 to 923 of the family's 1533-position model. Lineage: Bacteria; Pseudomonadati; Pseudomonadota; Alphaproteobacteria; Rhodobacterales; Roseobacteraceae. The record is from RNAcentral.